Molecule: non-coding RNA, 591 nt
Organism: Arachis ipaensis
Lineage: Eukaryota; Viridiplantae; Streptophyta; Magnoliopsida; Fabales; Fabaceae
Source: RefSeq, a predicted model, not a curated record
UAUGGACUCAUCACUCGUCCUUCCUCUCAACGCCAGCGAGCUGUCUCUGUCACUUCCAUCUAGCCGCUGAACUGCUCCCGCCGCUGUCGCCAGUUGGAGCCUCGAAGAUUAUAGUCGCAAUCGUGCAGCUCUCCACCAUCGUCACUGUUUCAGCUCUGGAAGCAGCAUCACCGGACUCGCCUCCUGUCUCCAUCGCGCACCUCUAUUCCACCGUCGCCAGCAUUAGCUCGGUUGCACCGUGAAGCACAAUCGUCGAGAUCGCCUCCUGUCUCCGUCGCGAACUCAGUUCCACCGUGGCCGACGCCAUCUCUGUUCCACUGGCCAGCGCCACUCUCCCUGGAUCUGCUCUGCUCUGUUCUGUUCUGUUCUAUACUUCUAGCUUCUAGGUACUUUUUAUUUUUUUAUAACAAUAAUGGUUGAAUAAGUAUUGUUGAGUAAUCUGUGAGGGUUGAAUAAUUAUUAAUUAAUCUGUGAAUAAUUGCUGUUGUUACUGCCUGACUACUUAAGCCACUUGGGCAAAUCUAUUAGUUUAUGCUAUUAUUACAUAUUCACACUGUAUUCCCUCCCAGAUCAGAAGCUCACCAAUUUUUU